AGCUCCAAUAGCGUAUAUUAAUGUUGUUGCAGUUAAAAGCUCGUAGUUGGAUAUAGAGCCUUCCGCAUCGUGCUCCCACGUGUGCAGCCUUUGCGGGAGCUCACCUUCCCGUUGUUUCGAUCUUGACGUUUGUCUUGGUGGUUACAAUUGGGAUCAGUUACUUUGAAGAAAUUUGAGUGUUCAAAGCAGGCUUACGCCGUGAAAAUUGCAGCAUGGAAUAACAACAUAGGACUCUCUUGGUCUUUUUGUUGUUCAGCCAAGGAGUAAUGAUUGAUAGGGACCGUUGGGGUGCUACUAUUAA
RNAcentral lists this ribosomal RNA (301 nucleotides) under uncultured eukaryote. Its description in RNAcentral is "SSU rRNA". It matches the Rfam family "Eukaryotic small subunit ribosomal RNA", at positions 587 to 900 of the family's 1831-position model. The record is from RNAcentral.